AAUUAAUCCAAAAAUAUAAUGCUCAUGUUCUUGAUCUUAACCCAAAAUAAGAGUUUUAAUCGAUAAUAUUUAUAAUCACGAUUCAAAUUAUUUGAAUCAUGAUAUGAAAAUGUAAUGACUAAAUAAAAUAAUAAAUCCUAAUAAACCGGACUCCGUCUUCUUUUUUUCUCGUGAUUUUUCUCUUCCAAAGACGUCCAAGAAUUCAAAACCAUGCCAGGUG
RNAcentral lists this long non-coding RNA (220 nucleotides) under Capsicum annuum. RNAcentral's name for it is "long non-coding RNA (CANN_LNC003178)". Lineage: Eukaryota; Viridiplantae; Streptophyta; Magnoliopsida; Solanales; Solanaceae. The record is from RNAcentral.